GGGUAGAGUAACGCGUGGGAACCUACCCUGGGGUACGGAAUAACAGCGGGAAACUGCUGCUAAUACCGUAUACGCCUUUAGGGGGAAAGAUUUAUCGCCCUGGGAUGGGCCCGCGUCCGAUUAGUUAGUUGGUGGGGUAACGGCCUACCAAGGCUUCGAUCGGUAGCUGGUCUGAGAGGAUGAUCAGCCACACUGGGACUGAGACACGGCCCAGACUCCUACGGGAGGCAGCAGUGGGGAAUCUUGGACAAUGGGGGCAACCCUGAUCCAGCCAUGCCGCGUGAGUGAAGAAGGCCUUAGGGUUGUAAAGCUCUUUCAGUGGUGACGAUGAUGACGGUAGCCACAGAAGAAGCCCCGGCUAACUCCGUGCCAGCAGCCGCGGUAAUACGGAGGGGGCAAGCGUUGUUCGGAAUUACUGGGCGUAAAGGGCGCGUAGGCGGCCUGUGCAAGUUAGUGGUGAAAGCCCCGGGCUCAACCUGGGAAUUGCCUUUUAAAACUGCUGGGCUUGAGUCCGGAAGAGGAUGGCGGAAUUCCCAGUGUAGAGGUGAAA
RNAcentral lists this ribosomal RNA (550 nucleotides) under uncultured Alphaproteobacteria bacterium. Its description in RNAcentral is "bacterial SSU rRNA". It matches the Rfam family "Bacterial small subunit ribosomal RNA", at positions 100 to 686 of the family's 1533-position model. Lineage: Bacteria; Pseudomonadati; Pseudomonadota; Alphaproteobacteria. The record is from RNAcentral.